AUUAUGAAAUGAGGCUGAGGUUGGAGAUAUGUAGAUAAACAUCCACAAUGCCCUGACAACAUUGGCACCAAAUAUCAUCACGGCGGCUCUGCUGGGGAGCCACAAGGGACAAUUCACCACCUUGAUGACUGAGGCCAAAGCAGACGAUCAUCUGAAGAGUGCUGCGGUCCUCAUCGUACCAGAGCAGAGGUUUUGCUGCUUGGAUGAGGAGCCAUCCAGCCCAUCUCCAGUAAUGGUGUCACACAACGCUGUGAGUCCCCUGCUGUGUACUACCCAACGCAUCCAUCGCGACUGGGGAGAU
Molecule: long non-coding RNA, 301 nt
Organism: Engraulis encrasicolus (European anchovy)
Lineage: Eukaryota; Metazoa; Chordata; Actinopteri; Clupeiformes; Engraulidae
Exons: 3
Source: RefSeq, a predicted model, not a curated record